Molecule: ribosomal RNA, 438 nt
Filed under: uncultured bacterium
Lineage: Bacteria
Description: bacterial SSU rRNA
Rfam family: Bacterial small subunit ribosomal RNA
Source: RNAcentral
GGGUAACCUGCCUCAUAGAGGGGGAUAGCCUCCCGAAAGGGAGAUUAAUACCGCAUAACAUCAUGCUGACGCAUGUCAGAAUGAUCAAAGGAGUAAUCCGCUAUGAGAUGGACCCGCGGCGCAUUAGCUAGUUGGUGAGGUAAAGGCUCACCAAGGCGACGAUGCGUAGCCGACCUGAGAGGGUGAUCGGCCACAUUGGAACUGAGACACGGUCCAGACUCCUACGGGAGGCAGCAGUGGGGAAUAUUGCACAAUGGGCGAAAGCCUGAUGCAGCAACGCCGCGUGAGUGAUGAAGGCCUUCGGGUUGUAAAGCUCUGUCUUUUGGGACGAUAAUGACGGUACCAAAGGAGGAAGCCACGGCUAACUACGUGCCAGCAGCCGCGGUAAUACGUAGGUGGCAAGCGUUGUCCGGAUUUACUGGGCGUAAAGGAUGCGUA